UACUGCGUGGAGGAUGAAGGCUCGUGGGCUGUAAACUCCUUUUCCUAGAGAAGAAGUCUGACGGUAUCUAGGGAAUAAGCAUCAGCUAACUGCGUGCCAGCAGCUGCGGUAAUACGUGGGAUGCAAGCGUUAUCCGGAUUUAUUGGGCGUAAAGCGUCUGUAGGUGGCUUCGCAAGUUUGUUGUUAAAUCAUUCAGCUUAACUGAAUCCAGCAGCAAAAACUAUGAAGCUUGAGUGCGGUAGAGGAAAAGGGAAUUCCCUGUGGAGCGGUGAAAUGCGUAGAGAUAGGGAAGAACACCAAUGGCGAAAGCACUUUUCUGGGCCUGCACUGACAUUGAGAGACGAAAGCUAGGGGAGCGAGUAGGAUUAGAUACCCUAUUAGUCCUAGCCGUAAACGAUGGAAACUACAUUUUGGAGCUCUAGGAGCUCAGCUUCGUAUUCUUCAGAAUGGUAGCUAACGCGUUAAGUUUCCCGCCUGGGAAGUAUGCUCGCAAGAGUGAAACUCAAAGGAAUUGACGGGAGCCCGCACAAGCGGUGGAGCAUGUGGUUUAAUUCGAUGCAA
Molecule: ribosomal RNA, 561 nt
Filed under: uncultured bacterium
Lineage: Bacteria
Description: bacterial SSU rRNA
Rfam family: Bacterial small subunit ribosomal RNA
Source: RNAcentral